AUUGAACGCUGGCGGCAGGCCUAACACAUGCAAGUCGAGCGGAUGAAGGGAGCUUGCUCCUGGAUUCAGCGGCGGACGGGUGAGUAAUGCCUAGGAAUCUGCCUGGUAUUGGGGGAUAACGUCCGGAAACGGGCGCUAAUACCGCAUACGUCCUGAGGGAGAAAGUGGGGGAUCUUCGGACCUCACGCUAUCAGCUGAUCCUAGGUCGGAUUAGCUAGUUGGUGGGGUAAAGGCCUACCAAGGCGACGAUCCGUAACUGGUCUGAGAGGAUGAUCAGUCACACUGGAACUGAGACACGGUCCAGACUCCUACGGGAGGCAGCAGUGGGGAAUAUUGGACAAUGGGCGAAAGCCUGAUCCAGCCAUGCCGCGUGUGUGAAGAAGGUCUUCGGAUUGUAAAGCACUUUAAGUUGGGAGGAAGGGCAGUAAGUUAAUACCUUGCUGUUUUGACGUUACCAACAGAAUAAGCACCGGCUAACUACGUG
This 484-nucleotide ribosomal RNA is filed under the name uncultured bacterium. RNAcentral's name for it is "partial 16S ribosomal RNA". It matches the Rfam family "Bacterial small subunit ribosomal RNA", at positions 30 to 507 of the family's 1533-position model. The record is from RNAcentral.